GCGGAUGUGGUGGAAUUGGUAGACACGCAGCCUUGAGGGGGCUGUGGCCUUACGGCCGUGAGAGUUCGAGUCUCUCCAUCCGCACCA
Molecule: transfer RNA, 87 nt
Filed under: Bermanella sp. 47_1433_sub80_T6
Lineage: Bacteria; Pseudomonadati; Pseudomonadota; Gammaproteobacteria; Oceanospirillales; Oceanospirillaceae
Description: tRNA-Leu
Rfam family: tRNA
About the family: Transfer RNA (tRNA) molecules are approximately 80 nucleotides in length. Their secondary structure includes four short double-helical elements and three loops (D, anti-codon, and T loops).
Source: RNAcentral